CUAAGGAUGGUUCUUCAGAAGCUUGCUUCUAUCGAACUGUUUUAGAAACAUCAGUGGCCAACGGUCGUCAGGAUCGUUGAGCUGCAUUGGCGGGAUUUCGCCGUCUUCGUUUCUCUUUCUUCGCGGACGAACACGCGCUGGGGCUGCAAUCUUGCAGAAUCCCUGGUCCUUGACUGGAUAUGCGUUAGGGGCUUGUAGCUCAGUUGGUUAGAGCGCGCGCUUGAUAAGCGUGAGGUCGGAAGUUCAAGUCUUCCCAGGCCCACCACACUCAUCGAGUGAGCAUUCGUCUUCUGGUUACGGGGCCAUAGCUCAGCUGGGAGAGCGCGUGCUUUGCAAGCAUGAGGUCGUCGGUUCGAUCCCGUCUGGCUCCACCAGAUGGUUUGAUCACCGACUGCUCGUGCAUCUAGAUCGUCCGCGAAACAUCACUUCGCACUUACUAGUCCGGAUGGACAGUAAGCUGCGGGAUUUCUGACAUCGUAAAGAGGAGAUCGAUCCGAGUUGGAUCGUACAGAAGCAUUUCUGUGCGAGACUUCAUUAUCUCCGGAUCAUUUCGGCGCUCGUGCGUCUUCCAGGGUAGCUCACAAGGCUGCGUCUGAAGGACAAGCGAGUUGUAAAUGAUCCUUUUAGCGAAGCUUGACCGCCUCGCUAUCGGAACGAUCUUACGAAGCAAGCUGGUCUUUCUAAUCAUUGUCCGGCUGCAGAUAGCGUUCAUCGAGGGCGCGUGCCGCAAGGUAAUUCUGCAGACAACAUUCUGCCGAGUGUGUGGACAUUGAUAAUGAGAGC
RNAcentral lists this transfer RNA (783 nucleotides) under Bradyrhizobium sp. 09LoS38R5_46. RNAcentral describes it as "16S-23S ribosomal RNA intergenic spacer". The stretch from base 189 to 262 matches the Rfam family "tRNA". The record is from RNAcentral. RNAcentral also lists the same sequence under 1 other name. Lineage: Bacteria; Pseudomonadati; Pseudomonadota; Alphaproteobacteria; Hyphomicrobiales; Nitrobacteraceae.